RNAcentral lists this transfer RNA (88 nucleotides) under Candidatus Uhrbacteria bacterium CG10_big_fil_rev_8_21_14_0_10_50_16. Its description in RNAcentral is "tRNA-Ser". It matches the Rfam family "tRNA". From Rfam's summary of the family: Transfer RNA (tRNA) molecules are approximately 80 nucleotides in length. Their secondary structure includes four short double-helical elements and three loops (D, anti-codon, and T loops). Further hydrogen bonds mediate the characteristic L-shaped molecular structure. tRNAs have two regions of fundamental functional importance: the anti-codon, which is responsible for specific mRNA codon recognition, and the 3' end, to which the tRNAs corresponding amino acid is attached (by aminoacyl-tRNA synthetases). tRNAs cope with the degeneracy of the genetic code in two manners: having more than one tRNA (with a specific anti-codon) for a particular amino acid; and 'wobble' base-pairing, i.e. permitting non-standard base-pairing at the 3rd anti-codon position. Lineage: Bacteria; Candidatus Uhriibacteriota. The record is from RNAcentral.
GGAGAGGUCGCAUAGUGGCCUAGUGCGCCAUCUUGGAAAGGUGGUAUACCGCAAGGUAUCGGGGGUUCGAAUCCCCCCCUCUCCGCCA